UACGGAGGGUGCAAGCGUUAUCCGGAUUCACUGGGCGUAAAGGGCGCGUAGGCGGCAAUUCAAGUCAUCUGUGAAAUCUCCGGGCUUAACUCGGAACGGUCAGGUGAUACUGCUUUGCUAGAGUGCGGAAGGGGCAAUCGGAAUUCUCGGUGUAGCGGUGAAAUGCGUAGAUAUCGAGAGGAACACCUGAGGUGAAGACGGGUUGCUGGGCCGACACUGACGCUGACAGCGCGAAAGCCAGGGGAGCAAACGGG
This 254-nucleotide ribosomal RNA is filed under the name uncultured bacterium. RNAcentral describes it as "partial 16S ribosomal RNA". It matches the Rfam family "Bacterial small subunit ribosomal RNA", at positions 524 to 776 of the family's 1533-position model. The record is from RNAcentral.